UCAGUCGCCAGUCACUACUGGUUUCAAAUUCCAUUAAAUGGGUGGUCUCAGAGUAUGGUGUCAAAUCCGAUUCAAAGGUCGAACGGGCGCGAGAUUGCGCAUGUGGUCGGGCCAGCAGAGGACAGGUCCCGUGAGUGCAGGCUAGCGUGGUGCGCGCAAAUUAAACUUGAGAGCUUACGAGUGUGACUUUGAGCGAGCAGUAUUUUCUCACACAAAUGUUUCAUUUUGCUCUCGCAACUGCUUGCCAAUGAACAUAGCCUGUAGCAAUCUACUGAAACGCAAUUGUUCCGAUUUUUGGACCAAUCAUGGCAUGACUACACUCUAACCGGAUUUUUGACCAUACAGAUGAAAGUGGAAGGUAAAAUAAUAGCCAAUAUUGUAAAUCGCUAACCGCAUACUUUGAGAUACAAUCUGAUUUAAAUAAAGAUGAUAACUUUUACAAGUCCACUGUCACUAAUAUCUGGUGGUGAAGUUGUUCUCUGCUCAGCUGACAGAGACAGGAGAUACAGGAGUCCAUUCUGUUCCAAGUAGGGUAACUUGGCUCUCCUCUAUGCACAGCACUCUGGGGACUUCCUGCAGUUGUUCUCAGGAGACAGGUCAGUGUGUGUAGAGAUAACACUUUGACCAGGUGGAGUCAGGCUUCUACUUCAUUGAGCAGGACCACUACACCAACGAGGCAGAGGACGCCAUGUUUGGACCAAUUAUGCUGAUGCCCCACUGUAAGAACCUGGAGAUCUUCACUGGUUCUGAGGGAGGUGACGUGGACACAAACCGUGCCUGGGACACCUUCCAGCGCUACCGCUGUCUGGACAACAGCCAGGGUGUGGUCAAGACAUCUGCUGCAACUUAAACUUUAGUGUGACAGCUCUGCUGCACCUGGGAGCUAAAGGUAUGGCACCACAAUCCCUACAGUCAUGUAUGCUUAAACAUACUUGUAUGCUCAUUUAUGUGUUUCUGGGACCAGAACAUAAUUACAAAUAAUUUGUAGGCUGCAAAUUGACCGCAAGAAGCCCAAACAGAUAGAAUAUUUGACUCAAACAUAAUCAUUUCAAAUCUUGCUUGAAUUUGUUUACGAUCUGUCACGUCUACUCCCACUCCCCACUCCGGGACUCGACGUCGCCGGUUUACAAACCAUCGAUCCUGGUAACCCAUCAUGACGCACACCUGGCAACCCUCAUUACGCACACCUGCGCCUCAUCAUGAGGCACACCUGGACUUCAUCACA
Molecule: long non-coding RNA, 1225 nt
Organism: Coregonus clupeaformis (lake whitefish)
Lineage: Eukaryota; Metazoa; Chordata; Actinopteri; Salmoniformes; Salmonidae
Exons: 3
Source: RefSeq, a predicted model, not a curated record